UACGAAGGGGGCUAGCGUUGUUCGGAAUUACUGGGCGUAAAGCGCGCGCAGGCGGCUAUCCAAGUCAGUGGUGAAAGCCCGGAGCUCAACUCCGGAACUGCCAUUGAAACUGUUUAGCUUGAGGACGAGAGAGGUGAGUGGAAUUCCCAGUGUAGAGGUGAAAUUCGUAGAUAUUGGGAGGAACACCAGUGGCGAAGGCGGCUCACUGGACCGGUACUGACGCUGAUGCGCGAAAGCGUGGGGAGCAAACGGG
Molecule: ribosomal RNA, 253 nt
Filed under: uncultured bacterium
Lineage: Bacteria
Description: partial 16S ribosomal RNA
Rfam family: Bacterial small subunit ribosomal RNA
Source: RNAcentral